This 584-nucleotide ribosomal RNA is filed under the name Stumpffia iharana. RNAcentral's name for it is "partial 16S ribosomal RNA". The stretch from base 1 to 397 matches the Rfam family "Bacterial large subunit ribosomal RNA", at positions 712 to 1300 of the family's 2925-position model. Lineage: Eukaryota; Metazoa; Chordata; Amphibia; Anura; Microhylidae. The record is from RNAcentral.
UCCCGAAACUAAGCGAGCUACUCUAAAACAGCCCACAGAGCCAACUCAUCCCUGUUGCAAAAGGGUGAGAAGAUUUUAAAGUAGAGGUGAUACACCUAUCGAGCCUAGAGAUAGCUGGUUAUUCAAAAGACGGAUUUUAGUCCAACUUUAAGUUUUAUUAGUCUUAUUAAACAAUUACUAAACUUAAAAGCCAUUCAAAUAAGGUACAGCCUAUUUGAACAAGGAUACAACCUAUAACACUGGGUAAUGUAUAUUACGUGGCCAAGUAGGCCUAAAAGCAGCCAUCUUCUAAAAAGCGCUCAAGCUUCCCCACUAAAUAUUUUUAAUACUACUAUUAACCCACAACCCCCAACCACUACUGAAUGAUUCUAUAACUAUAUAGAAGACACCAUGCUAGAACUAGUAACAAGAAGAUGAACUUCUCCACAAUGUAAACGUAAGCCUAUAAUAAACCCCUUACCGGCACUUACCGUCACAUCUACAGUAUACUUUCACAAGAAAACUCUACUAAUUUAAACGCUAGCCUUACACCAGAACAUUACCGGAAAGAUUAAAAGAGGGGGAAGGAACUCGGCAAAUAAAAG